This 7493-nucleotide long non-coding RNA is filed under the name Homo sapiens (human). RNAcentral's name for it is "HSALNT0251272". The stretch from base 1394 to 1689 matches the Rfam family "Metazoan signal recognition particle RNA". Lineage: Eukaryota; Metazoa; Chordata; Mammalia; Primates; Hominidae. The record is from RNAcentral.
CAGGUACUUCCAGCUCACCAGAGGUGUUAAAAUGGACUAUUAACUUGGAAUACAGCCUCUCCCUCUUGGGAAGUGACAAGAAUAUUCUAAUGUCAAGAUAAGUCAAGCUGACCUUGCAUUGUUACUGAAGCCGACGCUCCUCUGCCUAGUCCUUACCCUUCAUCCCGGUCCAGCCCCAACCCUUUCCUGCUGCUGAUCCUCCAUUCUCAGCUCUACACACUGGCUGCUUGCCCUUCCUGAAAUGCUCCUCGGGCUUCCACACUUGGCUGUGUCUUUCCUGGAAGCCCCUUUCCACAUCCAGCUCAUCCUGUUGGAAUUCUCCCCAGUCUUCAAGGCCAGGUUUAAAGGCCAUCUCCUCAGGAAGCCUUCCCUGAUCCUCCAGCUUCCUCCUCAGAAAGUUGACCUUCAGUGCAAACACCAAUCAUGUGCUGCUUUAAUCUGAAGUAAAGGUGUGUCUCUCACCCUUCUCCCUUCUCCUACGCAGCAGUAAUGGAGAGCUUCUGGAGACCUCGCAUAGAAGAAAUCGCUGGGGCUGCUGGGAGUGUUUCAUUGAAAAAGAGAACACUUCCUGGAGUCAUGAGUCAUGUGCCCUAAGCUUCCUUCAACUGUUAAUCAUCUAUCAGACUUUGAGCUCCUCAUGGAAACUCUACCUGGGCUUCUUUGGAGGUCCUUUACACACACACACACACGUGCAUGCAUGCAUGCACACACACACAAAUGCAUACACACACACACGCACACAUGCACACACACGCAUGCACACAUGCACACACACACACCCCUGUUCCUAGCACAAGCAGUGCCCACAUACAACUUCCUGUCUGAUGUGAAAGGUCUCUCUUUUGCACCCUCUUUGGUGGUAUGGUGGGCAGAAUUCUAAGAUGGCUUCCAAAGCUUCCUGUUCCCUGAGUGCCUGUACCCUGACCUGAAGGAUCCCUGAGACUGUGAAUAUCACAGAUUUUACUCCUGUGAUUCAGUUAUGUCAGAUGGUAAAGUUGAUCUUAAAAUAGGGAGAUGAUCUGGGUGGCCCUGACCUAAUCACGUGAGCCUUUUGAAAGCAGACCGUUUUCUUCCAUGGGUCAUAGAAGGGGAAGUCUGAGAGCUUCAAAGCAUGAGAGGGACUUGACGGUGGGUGGGUCCCGUGGCUGAGCUGGAGGAAGUCACGUGGCAAGCCCUGAGAGUGGCCUCUAGGAUUUGAGAACAGUUCCCAGCCAACAGCCAGCAAGACAAAGGGACCUCAGUCCUCCAACUGUAAGAAAGUGAAUUCUGCCAACAGCCCGAGGAAGUCUGGAAGUGGAUCAAGCCUCCAGAUGAGGACACACCUGGCCAGCACCUUGGUUUCAGCCUUACAAGAUGCUGAAAGGAGGACCCAGCUACAAUGUACUGGCCUCCUGCUGGAUGUGGAAGUUCACCCUUGUGAUCACAACUACUUGGGAGGCUGAGGCAGGAGGACUGCUUGAGCCCAGGAGUUCUAGGCUGUAGUACACUAUGCCCAUCAGGUGUCUGGACUAAGUCUGGCAUCAAUAAGGUGACCUCCUGGGAGUGAGGACCACAGGAUUGCUCAAGGAGGGUGAAUUGGCCCAAGUCCGAAACCGCAAGUAAAAAUUCUCAUGCUGAUCAGUAGUGGGACUGCACCUGUGAGUAGCCACUGCACUCCAGCCUGGGCAACAUGGCGAGACCUCAUCUCUAUUAAAACAAAACAAAACAAAAAAGGCUGCACUCCUGACCCAUGGAACAGUGAGCCAGUAAGUUGGUGGGGAGGAGUAUUUUCAUCUGCUCUGCAUGUUAAAAUCAUCUUACCUUAAUACUAGUCAGGAAAAUGCAAAGUAAAAUGACAUUAUAGCAUCGCUCUUAACCCAAUGUGAUUGUCACAAAUUCCUAAAUAUAUAAUAUCCAACGUGGGCAAGGGCAAUGGAAUAUAUAAACACUUGAAUACACAUUUGGUGGGACUGCAAAAUGAUAAGGGCUUCUGGGAGACAAUUAAAAUUUUUAAAUGGGCAUACCCUUCAAUCCAACAACUCCCCUUCUCAAUAUCUGUCCUAGAGAAAUAUACUCAGAGGCAUGUGAGAUAUAUUUAUUGUACCAUUUGGUACUAUUUAGAAACAAGUUAGAGACCUAUUAAUAGAACAGUGGUUAGAGGAGUUGUGGUAGAACCAUACUGGGAAUACUGUAGGUUUCAUACAGUGUUUUAAAACAAGGUAGCAGCUCUAAAUGGGCUAACGUGAAAAGAUCUUGUGCAUAUAUCAGUAGAUGAGAAAAGGAAUUGCAGGACAAUAUUUAUAGGCCACAUUUUAGCAACUGAUUCGGAGACACACACUAAUUACUUUUCAACAGCUCAGAAGGCACCUUACAAUCGAGGGUGGCCCAGUGCCAGUCAAACUGCAUAUCCUGAACAUACGUGAACCCUUGAAAUUUCAGUUAACAAAUCACCUUAGGACCAUUUGAGGAAGGAACAAGGAGUUCUGUCUGUUUCUGAAAGCUUUCUAUGAGAUCAAGAAAGUAUCAGCAUCAAAAAUUUUAGGCCAGGCCAGGAACGGUGGCUCACACCUGUAGUAAUCCCAGCACUUCAGGAGGCCAAGGAGGGUGGAUCACCUGAGGUCAGGAGUUCGAGACCAGCCUGGCCAACAUGGCAAAACCCUAUCUCUACUAAAAAUACAAAAAUUAGCCAGGCACGGUGGCAUACGCCUGUAGUCCCAGCUACUUGGGAGGCUGAGGCAGGAGAAUUGCUUGAACCAGGGAGGCAGAGGUUGCAGUGAGCCAAGUUCAAGCCACUGCACUCCAGCCUGUGUGACAGAGUGAGACUCCGUCUCAAAAAAAAAAAAAAAAAAAAAAAAAAAAAAAAACAUUGUAGGCCAGGUGCAGUGGCUCAUGCCUGUAAUCCCAGCAUUUUGGAAUGCCAAAGUGGGAGGAUCAAUUGAGCUUAGAAGUUCAGGGCCAGCCUGGGCAACAUAAUAAGACCCUGUCUCUACAAAAAAUAAAAAAUUAGGUCAGGCGCAGUGGCUCACGCCUGCAAUCCCAGCACUCUGGGAGGCCGAGGCAGGCAGGUCACCUGAGGUCAGGAGUUCAAGAUCAGCCUGCCCAACAUGGCAAAACUCCCUCUCGACUAAAAAUACAAAAAAUUAGCUGGGCAUGGUGGUGGGCGUCUGUAAUCCCAGCUACUCAGGAGGCUGAGGCUGGAGAAUCUCUUGAAUCCGGGAGGCAGAGGUUGCAGUGAGCUGAGAUCGUGCCACUGCACUCCAGCCUGGGCAACAAGAGAGAAACUCCGGCUCAAAAAAACAAAACAAAAAAAAUUAGGCCAAGCACAGUGGCUCACGACUGUGAUCCCAGCACUGUGGGAGGCCAAGGCGGGCAGAUAGCUUGAACUCAGGAGUUUGAGACCACCUGGGCAACAUGGCAAAACCCUGUCUCUACAAAAAAUACAAAGGUUAGCUGGGUGCAGUGGCAUGCGCCUGUAGUCCCAGCUACUUGGGAGGCUGAGGUGGAGGAUCAUCUGAGCCCAGUAGGCGCACGUUGCAGUGAGCCAAGAUGGUGCACACCACUGCACUCCAGCCAAAGCAACAGAACAAGAUCCUGUCUCAAUAAAUAAAUAAAUAAACAAAUAAAUAAAUAAAUAGCUGGGCAUGGUGGUGCAUACCCACAGUCCCAGCUACUUGGGAGGCUGAGGCAGGGGGAUUGCUUGAAUCCAUAAGGUUGAGGCUGUAGUGAGCUAUCAUCAUGCCACUGCACUCCAGCCCGGGUGACAGAUCAAGACCCUGUUUCAAAAAACAAAAAACAAAUUGCAGAAUGAGUGUUGGCAGCCAGGAAGACAAUCCCUGAGAUAGUAGUGAAGCAGUCUUUUCUUCUUUUUGUUGCCCAGGCUGGUUUUGAACUCCUAGGCUCAAGCAAUUCUCCAAUCUCGGCCUCCCAAAGUCCUGGGAUUACAAGUGUGAGCCACUGCGCCUAGCCACUUUUUAAUAUUUUAAAAGAUAAUUGCCUGUUUAAACAAAAACAGUAACAAUGUAAUGUGGGGUCUAUAACAUAUAUAGAAAUAAAAUGUACAACCGCAGUAACACAAAGAAUAGAAGAAGGGAAAUGAAAAUAAGGCUCACAUAUCAUAAGUAAAGAAACAGAACUCUAUAUAAAGGUAGACUAUGUUAAAAGUAUAUAUUGUAAACCUUAAAAAAGCCACUGAAAAUACAACAAAGAGGUAGUGCUAAUAAGCCAGUAGAGAAAAUAAAAUGGAAUCAUACAAAAUUCUACAUCACUCCAAAAGAAAUCAGGAAUAGAGGGGAAAAGAACAAAGAAAAUGUAGAAUAAAUAGCAAACAAAUAGCAAGAUGUGAGUUUUAAAACCAACUAUAUCAAUAGUUAUAUGAACUAUAAAUGGUCUAAAUACUCCACAUAGAGAGAUUUUUUUAAAGCAAGCUGGUCAUGCUGGAUGAAAAAAACAAGACCCAACUAUAAGUAGAAGGAUGGGGAAAAGAUAUACCAUGCAUAUGAAUCAAAAGAAAUGGAGUUGUUACAAUAGCAUCUGACAAAAUACAAUCAGAGCAAAGAAUAUGAUCAGGGGCCAGGCGUGGUGGCUCACACUUGUAAUCCCAGCACUUUGGGAGGCCAAGGUAGGCCGAUUGCUUGAGCUCAGGAGUUUGAGACUAGCCUGAGUAACACACAGAAACCCUAUCUCUACAAAAAAUAGAAAAAUUAGUUGGGUGUGGUAGCAUGUGCCUGUGUUCCCAGCUUCUUAGGAGGCUGAGGUGUGAGGAUCACUUGAGCCUGGGAGGUUGAGGUUGCAGUGAGCCAUGUUCGUGCCACUGCACUCCAGCCUAUGUGACAAAGCGAGACCUUGUUUCAAAAAAAAAACAAGCAAGAAGAAAUUAUCAGGAUAAAGAGAGACAUUUCACUAUUUAAUUGCUAACUCGUUAAGAGGAUGCCCAAAUCCUACAUGUAACCACAAUCAACAACAGAGCUUCAAAACACAUGUGGUCAAUUGGUUUUUUGUUUGAUUUUGUUAAACUUGUUAUUUUAUAAAGUUUUAGAUUUACAGAAAAUUUGUGAAGAUAAUUCAAAAAGAUUCCAUAUAGUUUGCAUGCAGUUUCUCCUAUUAUUAACAUCUUCCACUGAAAUGGUACAUUUGGCAUAAUUAAUGAAACAAUCUUGAUACAUUACUAUUAACCAGGGUCCAUAAUUUAUUCAGAUUUCCUUCAUUUUUACCUAAUGUCCUUCUUCUGUUCCUGGACAUUAGGUCUGUAUCCAUAAUACCACAUUCCACUUAAUUCUCAUGUAUCCUUAGGUUCUUCUUGGCUGUGACAGUUUCUCAGACUUUCCUUAUUCUGAAUGACCUUGGCAGUUUUUAGGAGUACUGGUAUUUUAUGAAAUGCCCUUCACUUGGAAUUUGUCUGACAUUUUUCUUAUGAUUAGACUGGAAAAAAGACCAAAGAGGUAAAGUCACAUUUUUAUCACAUCAUAUCAAGGGCACAGAGUAACAACAUAGCUGUUGAUGUGAACCUUGACUGCCUUGGCUGAGGCAGUGUUUGUCAGGUUUCUCCAGUGUGAAGUUACUUGGGCAAUUACUUUUUCACAAAGGCGCUAAGGUGAUUUAAUGGAGGUGACAGAAAGACUUUUCAAUAAAUGAAGCUUGAACAACUGGAUAUACUUAUGGGAGAAAAUGAACCUUGACACUUACUUCAUAGCACACGUAAAAAUUAACUUGAAAUGUAUCAUAGACCUAAACAUGAAAGCCAAAAGUAUAAAACUUCUAGAAGGAAAUCUUUGUGAUCCUGAGGUAGGCAGAUUUCUUAGAACACAAACAGCACAAAAAAUAAAUUUUAAAAUUCAUAAAGUUGACUUCAUCAAAAUUUUAAAACAACUCUUUGAAAGUCACUAAGAACAUGAAAAGACAAACUACAGAUUGGGAGAAAAUAUAUCUUUCUCCUUGAUACAGGUCUUUAUCCAGAAUAAUUUUUUUAACUCUUACAAUUCAUUAACAAGGCAAAAAAUCUAAUUUUUAAGUGGCAAAAAUUUGAACAAAUACUUCACCAAAAAAGAUAUGCAAAUGGCCGAAAAACACAUGAAAAGAUGCUCAAUAUCAUUAGUCGUCAAGGAAAUGCAACUAAAACCACAAUGAGAUCCUGUUACAUACUCAUUCGCAUGGGUAAAGUUAAAAAGACUCACAAUAUCGAGUGUUGGUGAGAAUGUAGAGUAAUGAAAAGUUUCAUUUUUCUCUGGUGGAAAAGUAAAAUGAAGCAGUGGAUGCAGUGGCUCAUACCUGUAAUCCCAGAACUUUGGGAGGCCAAGGCGGGAGGACUAUUUGAGGCCAGGAGUUCCAUACCAGCCUGGGCAACAUAGUGAGACUCUGUCUCUACAAAAAAUAAAACAAAUUAGCUGGGUGUAGUGGUAUGCGCCUGUAGUCCCAGCUACUCAGGAGGCCGAGGCAUGAGGAUUUCUUGAGCCCAAGAUUUCAAGGCUGCAGUGAGCUAUGACUGUGCCACUGCACUCCAGCCUGGGUGACAGAGUGAGACUUUGUCUCAACAAAGAAAAAAAAAGUAAAAUGAUGAAACCACUUUGGAAAAGAGCUUGAAAAAUGUUAAACAUACAUUUACUCUACAACCAAUCAAUAUUACUCAUGGGGUUUACCCAAGAAAAAUAAAAACCAAUGUCAUCUAAAGACUUGCACAUAAAUGUGCAUACCAACUUUAUGCAUAAUAGCGAAAAACUGAAAACAACUCAAGUGUCUCUUAACAGGUGAAUGAACAAAUUAUGAUACAUUCAUACAAUGGAAUAGCACACAGCACAAAAUGAUAUGAACUUCCAAUACAUACAACAGUUUGGAUGAGUCUCAAAAGCAUUAUGCUGAGAAAGACGCACCAAACACGAGAGUGUACAGACUGUAUGAUUCCAUUUCUAGAAAAGGUCACCGUAUAUGGACAGGAAGCAAUGGUGCCCCAGGGCCGAGGGAGUUGAUGUACAAGAGGGAACACUUUGGGGUGAUAGAAAUGUUCUUUAUCUCCAUGUUGGUGGUGCUUCCAUUUGUCAAAACUCAUUGAACGGUAAACUUUAAAUUGACGUGCUUUAUUGUCUUCCUUGAUUAAGCUGAUACAAUGCAGCAUCAGAAGUCAAGAAGCUCUGCUCCCGGGAGUUGACGGCAGUCCAGAGUUUUCUGUGACCCUUGGCUCUGCCCCAGGAGGUAUUCUUUUUCCAUUAUCAUUCUCUUUGGCUGAAUCCGAAGAGAACAUUUGAAAAUAUGACCUCUUAGGGGCUCAGCAGAAGACAAGGGCCUCCACUGUUGUUUUAGGUCUGGCGCAGUCAGUCUCUGGUGGCAACAGGACUCUCAAAACAUUCAGCCAAAGGCAUCUUUUAUUUCCGUUGGAGUUGCAGCAGUGGGUGUGAUUACCACACCCUUGAUUUGGUAUUUGCCACCUCGAAGAGCUUUAACCAGCCUUUGUUCCUCAGGACACUUCUUCCUUCUUCUGUUUUAUCUUCUUGAGAGUGACAUAUUACUUCUGCUGCAUUUCAAAG